AAGUUCAAGGCGAAAGCCGAAAAUUUUUAAGUAAAGAAAAAUCUAAAUAUAUUUGUCAUCUAACCGAUUUUUAUACACUUGAAUAAUUUUGAACGAAAGGGAAUACGGUUCCAAUUCCGUAACCUGUUGAGUAUCCGUUUGUUAUUAAAUAUGGGCCUCGUGCUCAUCCUGGCAACAGGAACGACCAUAAAGAAGCCGUCGAGAGGUAUCGGAAGAGUUUUCUUUUCUGUUUUAUAGCCGUACUACCAUGGAAGUCUUUCGCAGAGAGAUAUGGUACAUGGGCUAGAAGACCAUGACAUAUACUGUUGUGUCGAUAUUUUCUCCUCGGACCUUGAAAAUUUAUGGUGGGGACACGCAAACUUCUCAACAGGCCGUACCAAUAUCCGCAGCUGGUCUCCAAGGUGAAGAGUCUCUAGUC
This 418-nucleotide non-coding RNA is filed under the name Drosophila virilis. Its description in RNAcentral is "Eukaryotic large subunit ribosomal RNA". It matches the Rfam family "Eukaryotic large subunit ribosomal RNA", at positions 1547 to 1888 of the family's 3401-position model. The record is from Rfam by way of RNAcentral. Lineage: Eukaryota; Metazoa; Arthropoda; Insecta; Diptera; Drosophilidae.